Small nuclear RNA from Arvicola amphibius (Eurasian water vole), 172 nucleotides. RefSeq annotates it as U1 spliceosomal RNA. The record is from RefSeq and is a predicted model, not a curated record. Lineage: Eukaryota; Metazoa; Chordata; Mammalia; Rodentia; Cricetidae. The transcript has a single exon.
ACAGCUACCGGGUAGGGAGGGCAGGGAGGAAGGAAGGAGAAACGAAGGUGGUUUUCCAAGGUGAGGCUUGUCUUAGCACUCUGGACAUGCUGACCCCUGCAAUCUCCCCAACUGUGGGAACAUCCUCUAUAUAAAAUAUGGCAGUGGGGAACAGCAUUCAUGCUCUCUCCUA